UAGCAGACACAUUCCAGCCAAUCAGCAGCAGACCCUCCCUCCCAGACCCUCCCACCUACUGGACAGCAUCCAUUUUACAUUCAUUGUGAAGCUGCAUUCUUAGUGAGCUGUCCAGGAGGGGGAAGGGUCUGGGAGGGAGGGUCUGCUGCUGAUUGGCUGGAAUGUGUCUGCUG
This 173-nucleotide microRNA precursor is filed under the name Pelobates cultripes (western spadefoot toad). Lineage: Eukaryota; Metazoa; Chordata; Amphibia; Anura; Pelobatidae. The record is from RNAcentral.